RNAcentral lists this transfer RNA (84 nucleotides) under Candidatus Roizmanbacteria bacterium RIFCSPLOWO2_01_FULL_37_12. RNAcentral describes it as "tRNA-Leu". It matches the Rfam family "tRNA". From Rfam's summary of the family: Transfer RNA (tRNA) molecules are approximately 80 nucleotides in length. The record is from RNAcentral. Lineage: Bacteria; Candidatus Roizmaniibacteriota.
GCCGGGGUGGCGGAACUGGCAGACGCGCAGGGUUUAGGACCCUGUGUCCGCAAGGACGUGGGGGUUCAACUCCUCUUCCCGGCA